AGAGUUUGAUCAUGGCUCAGAUUGAACGCUGGCGGCAGGCCUAACACAUGCAAGUCGAGCGGUAGAGAGAAGCUUGCUUCUCUUGAGAGCGGCGGACGGGUGAGUAAUGCCUAGGAAUCUGCCUGGUAGUGGGGGGUAACGUUCGGAAACGGACGCUAAUACCGCAUACGUCCUACGGGAGAAAGCAGGGGACCUUCGGGCCUUGCGCUAUCAGAUGAGCCUAGGUCGGAUUAGCUAGUUGGUGAGGUAAUGGCUCACCAAGGCGACGAUCCGUAACUGGUCUGAGAGGAUGAUCAGUCACACUGGAACUGAGACACGGUCCAGACUCCUACGGGAGGCAGCAGUGGGGAAUAUUGGACAAUGGGCGAAAGCCUGAUCCAGCCAUGCCGCGUGUGUGAAGAAGGUCUUCGGAUUGUAAAGCACUUUAAGUUGGGAGGAAGGGUUGUAGAUUAAUACUCUGCAAUUUUGACGUUACCGACAGAAUAAGCACCGGCUAACUCUGUGCCAGCAGCCGCGGUAAUACAGAGGGUGCAAGCGUUAAUCGGAAUUACUGGGCGUAAAGCGCGCGUAGGUGGUUUGUUAAGUUGGAUGUGAAAUCCCCGGGCUCAACCUGGGAACUGCAUUCAAAACUGACUGACUAGAGUAUGGUAGAGGGUGGUGGAAUUUCCUGUGUAGCGGUGAAAUGCGUAGAUAUAGGAAGGAACACCAGUGGCGAAGGCGACCACCUGGACUAAUACUGACACUGAGGUGCGAAAGCGUGGGGAGCAAACAGGAUUAGAUACCCUGGUAGUCC
RNAcentral lists this ribosomal RNA (793 nucleotides) under uncultured bacterium. Its description in RNAcentral is "bacterial SSU rRNA". It matches the Rfam family "Bacterial small subunit ribosomal RNA", at positions 8 to 796 of the family's 1533-position model. The record is from RNAcentral.